CCAAAAAUUCUCAAAUUUUUACACAACCUGCAUAUCUACUGAUAUUAACACCCCAAAUAUUUCCAGAAUUUAUAAAGCACAAAAAGGGUACGAAAAUGCCCCUGCUACGGACUGAUCCAAAAUAGUUCCUAGAAACGGGACUGUUUUCACAUAAAUCAACACCACGACUUUUAGAAACGUGAUUUUUGAGUUCUACCACUUGGGUUAACUAGUAAACACAUAUAUCUAGCACUACUCUUAGACGGAUCGAGAAAAGAAUGUCUAGAUUAAAAACGGUAAACAUUCAAAACACCUAAAAGUUAGGGUUUUCAAAACUAGAAAAAUUAUUUUUCUUUUCUUUUUGAUUCAAACCAAAUCAACACCCAUUAUGGGUAGAUCCAUACUUGAAAUCAUAUAAAUCACAUAGAUCUUAGGGUUUGAACUACCAAAUCAAAAACCCCUAAAUCAAAUCCAUAAACUAAAAUAGAGAAAAACUUAGGAAAAGUAUUUUUAUACCUUUGCUUUUCUUUCUCUCCUUUAAAGAUGUGAUAUGGGUCUUAGGUUUAUGAAAGUUAAAAUCCCCUCUCCCCCUUCUCUUGGAGCUGCCAAAAUGGCCUCUCUCUCUCUCUCUCUCUAUCUUUAGUUCUUUGCUAACUUGGAAGAAUAAAAGAGAUGAAAGAGAAAUGAGAUAGAUUUUUUUUUAUCAAUUAUCCAACCCACUCUCUUUUUCUCUCAUACUCAACCGGCCAUGUGCCUUUCUUCUCUACAUUCUCCACUCAUUCUCUCUCUUAGUAAUCAUUGCAUACAUGUGUGGGAGAUUAAAAGCAAAGUGGCUCCUUAAAAUGGAUGACACCUAGCUAAGUUAUGAAAAAUCUUAUGGAACAUGUGGUGAUUAUAAUGGUGAUGUGUAACCCACCACUUCCUCUCCUUUUCUCCCACAAAAAUUCGGCCAAGUGGCCCAUUAUUUCACCAAGUCUUUCUUCCUUUUUAAUGAAUAUAUAGUGUCUCCAAAGACUAAAAUGCCCCUCCUUACUUGGAUCAAAUUUUGGGCUUUUUUAAAUAAUGUUUGGGCCACCAUAUUUAAUCCCUUUGGACUUUAAGUUGGGCUUGCAAAAUUAAUCUAUUGGACAUAAAGAAUUUAAUUCUUUGGGCCAUGUAAAUCAAUCAUAGUCCAACACUCUUAAUAAUACCAAAUGUCCAUCAUGCCCUUCCUUCAAUUGGGCUCAAAAUUGGGCCAUCACUUAUAAUCUUUUGGGCUUUCCUUUAAUGCUUAAUUGAUUUACUAAUUGUCCAACAUAUCCCUCCCACUUGGGCUAAAAGUUGGGCCACUCAAUUAAUGUAUUGCUUGGGCCUCUAAUCAAUUUCAUUGGGCCAACACUUGGGCUAUAAAAUAUACAUAGUCCAAUACCUUAAAUUCUUAUCCAACCCAAAUAAUUUAAUUAGGGUUUUCUCUUCUCAUUUAAAACACAAAUUCUUACUCAUGCACAUUUAUUUCCUUAACCCAAUUAGACUUGCUGUAAUGAGGUUAUAAAAUUAAUUAAUCGAGAUAUAUAAAAUAAAUCUCUUAGAAUUAGUAUAUAUCUAAAUACUAUUAUUUCCCCCAACUCAUAACUCUUAAGUUAUUCAAUCAUUCAUUCUUAAUAUAUAAUUAGGAUUACAUUAGUUUAUUUUAUUUGUUUAUAUAAUAAUCAAACAAACACAUAAUAUUCAUAUUCAUUACACACAUAACUUUUAAUCCCUUAGGGUUUUAUACAAAACAUUAGGAUUUCUAAUUUAACAAUUAGGGUUAUCCCUAAUAUAUAAUCACUAAUACUUAAGCCAUUAUAUUUAGCCUUUGACUUCCCAAAUUAGGGUUUCAAAUACCGAAUUAGGGUUUCGGAUUCCCGGUACUGAAAUUAGGAUUUCCAGAACCGAUUUCUAGGGUUUCUUAUAAUUCGUAAUAAUUUUAUAACUGAACGUUGACGUUCUAAAUAAUAUUAGGGUUUGACACAGAUAUAAUUUAUCUGGUCAACACUUGACCCUUAACCACAUUCUGUACACAUAAUACCGUAAUCACAGAAC
Molecule: long non-coding RNA, 2040 nt
Filed under: Panax ginseng (ginseng)
Lineage: Eukaryota; Viridiplantae; Streptophyta; Magnoliopsida; Apiales; Araliaceae
Description: long non-coding RNA (PGIN_LNC012198)
Source: RNAcentral